RNAcentral lists this ribosomal RNA (692 nucleotides) under Arthrobacter sp. TN104A. RNAcentral describes it as "bacterial SSU rRNA". It matches the Rfam family "Bacterial small subunit ribosomal RNA", at positions 8 to 715 of the family's 1533-position model. The record is from RNAcentral. Lineage: Bacteria; Bacillati; Actinomycetota; Actinomycetes; Micrococcales; Micrococcaceae.
AGAGUUUGAUCCUGGCUCAGGAUGAACGCUGGCGGCGUGCUUAACACAUGCAAGUCGAACGAUGAUGCCCACUUGUGGGUGGAUUAGUGGCGAACGGGUGAGUAACACGUGAGUAACCUGCCCUUGACUCUGGGAUAAGCCUGGGAAACUGGGUCUAAUACCGGAUAUGACCUUCCAUCGCAUGGUGGUUGGUGGAAAGCUUUUGUGGUUUUGGAUGGACUCGCGGCCUAUCAGCUUGUUGGUGGGGUAAUGGCCUACCAAGGCGACGACGGGUAGCCGGCCUGAGAGGGUGACCGGCCACACUGGGACUGAGACACGGCCCAGACUCCUACGGGAGGCAGCAGUGGGGAAUAUUGCACAAUGGGCGCAAGCCUGAUGCAGCGACGCCGCGUGAGGGAUGACGGCCUUCGGGUUGUAAACCUCUUUCAGUAGGGAAGAAGCGAAAGUGACGGUACCUGCAGAAGAAGCGCCGGCUAACUACGUGCCAGCAGCCGCGGUAAUACGUAGGGCGCAAGCGUUAUCCGGAAUUAUUGGGCGUAAAGAGCUCGUAGGCGGUUUGUCGCGUCUGCCGUGAAAGUCCGGGGCUCAACUCCGGAUCUGCGGUGGGUACGGGCAGACUAGAGUGAUGUAGGGGAGACUGGAAUUCCUGGUGUAGCGGUGAAAUGCGCAGAUAUCAGGAGGAACACCGAUGG